GCAUCGAUGAAGAACGCAGCGAAAUGCGAUAAGUAAUGUGAAUUGCAGAAUUCAGUGAAUCAUCGAAUCUUUGAACGCACAUUGCGCCCCCUGGUAUUCCGGGGGGCAUGCCUGUUCGAGCGUCAUUUCACCACUCAAGCCUCGCUUGGUAUUGGGCAACGCGGUCCGCCGCGUGCCUCAAAUCGACCGGCUGGGUCUUCUGUCCCCUAAGCGUUGUGGAAACUAUUCGCUAAAGGGUGCUCGGGAGGCUACGCCGUAAAACAAACCCAUUUCUAAGGUUGACCUCGGAUCAGGUAGGGAUACCCGCUGAACUUAAGCAUAUCAAUAAGCGGAGGA
RNAcentral lists this ribosomal RNA (336 nucleotides) under uncultured fungus. RNAcentral's name for it is "eukaryotic LSU rRNA". The stretch from base 1 to 125 matches the Rfam family "5.8S ribosomal RNA", at positions 30 to 154 of the family's 154-position model. The record is from RNAcentral. Lineage: Eukaryota; Fungi.